ACAACAUCACUAGAGUAACUAAGGUGAAAAUAAAGAGAGUUCACAUAUUCAUGUCACCUUGGAGCCAAAUUUCAAAAAGUCAAGAGCUCAUAUUCAAGAAUCAUUCCAACCAAUCUCUUCCUCUCAUCCUGCUCUCUAUUCUCUUGUAAAAUUCUUAAAGGAAAUCAUCUUUAAAAUCUUUAAAAGUGAGGAAGUAUCACUUCCAAUCUCAAGAGAUCAUCAAGGAGUGCACACACAACACUCAAGCUUCAAGGGAGGAAGAAGUGAUCAAGAAAUUGCAAGAAGUAAAUUAAGGAGCUUAUAAGACAAGGUAUUUUCUGGCUGAAAUUGAGGGACCUGAGCAAAAAUCUGAUUCAGAGGCUGAAAAGGGCUGCAGAUGCUAUUGGAUUCUGACCUCCCUGCACUCGAAGUGGAUUUUCCGGAGCUACAGAAGCCCAAUUGGCGCGCCCUUAAUUGAGUUAGAAAGUAGACAUCCAGGGCUUUCUAGCAAUAUAUAAUAGUUCAUACUUUACCCGAGAUUUGAUGGCCAAAAUAGGCGUUCCAUGUUAGCUUCAGAAUUCCCGGCGUUAAACGUCGGAACUGGCACAAAAGUGGGAGUUAAACGCCCAAACUGGCACAAAAGCUGGCGUUUAACUCCAAGAAAAGUCUCUACACAUGGAAGCUUCAAUGCUCAGCCCAGGCACACACCAACUGGGCCCGGAAGUGGAUUUUUACGUCAUUUACUCAUUUUUGUAAACCCUAGGCUACUAGUUCUCUAUAAAUAGGACCUUUUGCUAUUGUAUUUGAAGAAUCUUUCAAUCUUCCGAUCAUCUUUUGAUCAUGUUUUUAUGAUUGAACCCUCUUUGGGAGGCUGGCCAUUCGGCCAUGCCUAGACCUUGUUCUUAUGU
Molecule: long non-coding RNA, 887 nt
Organism: Arachis stenosperma
Lineage: Eukaryota; Viridiplantae; Streptophyta; Magnoliopsida; Fabales; Fabaceae
Exons: 5
Source: RefSeq, a predicted model, not a curated record